Cyprinus carpio (common carp) is the source of this 1644-nucleotide long non-coding RNA. RefSeq lists it as uncharacterized. The record is from RefSeq and is a predicted model, not a curated record. The transcript has 5 exons. Lineage: Eukaryota; Metazoa; Chordata; Actinopteri; Cypriniformes; Cyprinidae.
CUCAUAUAACCACUAUACCUGAUUAUUAUCUAUUGUCUGAAUCUACAUUAUGUCUAAUUACGAUAUUAUUACCCAAUUCAGAUGACAAUUCCUACAUUAAGGAUCAAGUUUGUCACAUAAACUCUUUGCAUGUUUUAUCUCUUCUCCAAAUGCUCAAUGCUGCCCAGGUCUAUUAAAUACAGUUAUUAGCUUUUGCACGAAUCUAUUUCCAUGCCGACUAAACAAAGCUGUGAUUUUUUCCCCCACGACGCUGCUGUAUUAGGGCAAUGUGACGUCAUGGACUGUAUGUGACUGUACGCAGCGCGUGCCGCGGAGCGCGUGCUCCGAGCACAUGGAAAAAGGCUCGAGACGAAGUACCCAAAGAAAAACUCCAUACUGAAAUGGAAUAUCAUUCACAAAAUAAUCAAAUCUGGAGCAAAAGGGACCUUCAGAACAGCUGCUAGUCAGCCUGUCGUUCUCUCAACGGAAGCCUGAAACCGGAGCCAUGAGUGAAUGCCAAACUUUUCAGGAAAAGACCUACAUGUUCUGCCCCCUGUGAGCUGACAACUCCUUGCCAUCAAAGUCAACGAUGCCGCUUUGCUGCGAAGAGAUGAAGAUCUGCUGUUGCCUGCGGACAGCUGGGUUUUACACAGUGGGUGCAAAGAUGUGAAAGAGGGCCUCACACUUUGACGAAUGGCUGUUAUUCCAGGAACGAGAGGGGCCGAAGCAACAGGACACUCUUAAAUCUGCAGUGGCGAGAGAGGCCCUGUUUCCUGACCCUUCUGAGAAUGGCUUUGAAAUGCACCUCAAACGCUUCAGCGCCAUCAGGGGAAACGGGGCUGCUGCCUGCUUUAAAAAGAGCUUUACAGGAUGUAUGGAAGAAAUCCUGAGGGAUAAUUGGUGUAGAUGUGCACUGUCACGCUGCCUUGGAAACCACUGACUCAGGUAAAGAAUCCAUCUUCAAAGGAAACAGCCCGGUGUUGUUUCUGACCGACCUGCCUGAAGAACGUUAAAAGCACGAGGAGAUCCUUCAUUGCCCGAUUUCAAAGAGACCGUGACAUACUUGAGUGCUCAGACUUUCUCAUGGGGAGUACUUGAGGUUCAGGUGCAAUGAGAGACAAUGAUGGAGGCCUCUUCAUACGCCACAAAGGCAGAAAGAAAAUUAUGGGUUUUUUACAAUGGCUGGACAAAGAUAAAUACUGUCUAUAAGUAUGGGAGGUAACGGUGCUAUCAUGUUCACAAACAGAAAGAAGAAUGCUUUGAUACGACACCACCAAUAUUUUCAACAAGAUCUCAUAAGCAUUUGCAAUCAUUUUUACAAAAAUAUGGUUUUACCACACAUAUUUUUACUUUCUAAAACACAAUCCUGAUGUAUUGACAGCAUCUAAAACGUAAAUAAUUUACAGACGCACAAAUGUUUAUAAAUCCUUAAUCACCUUGAUUAAACGGUUGAUUCUAUUGCAUUUAUGAUCAUUGAGAUUAUGAUUUCAAUAACAUUUAUUUAGUGCUGUUGGCUCAUUUCAAAGGAUUACAUAGAGUAAAAUUGCACCAUAAGGGAUAAUAAAUGUGGUCCAUUUUAUUUGUGCACUGUGCAAAUUGUCAGAAUGUCAUUAUGUUUGUGUAUGCAUGAGGAACAGACUCCAAUUCAAAUUCAUCUCAAUCUCA